UACGUAGGGGGCAAGCGUUGUCCGGAUUUAUUGGGCGUAAAGAGCGUGUAGGCGGCCAGGUAGGUCUGCUGUGAAAACUCGAGGCUCAACCUCGAGAUGUCGGCGGAAACCAUCUGGCUAGAGUCCGGAAGAGGAAAGUGGAAUUCUUGGUGUAGCGGUGAAAUGCGCAGAUAUCAGGAAGAACACCCGUGGCGAAGGCGGCUUUCUGGGACGGUACUGACGCUGAGACGCGAAAGCGUGGGGAGCGAACAGG
RNAcentral lists this ribosomal RNA (253 nucleotides) under uncultured bacterium. RNAcentral's name for it is "partial 16S ribosomal RNA". It matches the Rfam family "Bacterial small subunit ribosomal RNA", at positions 524 to 776 of the family's 1533-position model. The record is from RNAcentral.